RNAcentral lists this small RNA (125 nucleotides) under Marmota monax (woodchuck). Lineage: Eukaryota; Metazoa; Chordata; Mammalia; Rodentia; Sciuridae. The record is from RNAcentral.
GCCAGGCGCAGUGGUGCAUGCCUGUAAUCCCAGCGGCUUGGGAGGCUGAGACAGAAGGAUUGCAAGUUCAAAGCCAGCCUCAGCAAAAGUGAGGUGCUAAGCAACUCAGUGAGCCCCUGUCUCUA